This 243-nucleotide ribosomal RNA is filed under the name uncultured bacterium. RNAcentral describes it as "partial 16S ribosomal RNA". It matches the Rfam family "Bacterial small subunit ribosomal RNA", at positions 524 to 766 of the family's 1533-position model. The record is from RNAcentral.
UACGUAUGGAGCAAGCGUUAUCCGGAUUUACUGGGUGUAAAGGGUGCGUAGGCGGCACAGCAAGUCAGAUGUGAAAGACCGGGGCUCAACCCCGGGGCUGCAUUUGAAACUGCCGAGCUUGAGUCCGGGAGAGGCAGGCGGAAUUCCUAGUGUAGCGGUGAAAUGCGUAGAUAUUAGGAGGAACACCAGUGGCGAAGGCGGCCUGCUGGACCGGAACUGACGCUGAGGCACGAAAGCGUGGGG